GACCCCGCACAAGCGGCGGAGCAUGCGGCUUAAUUCGAUGAUACCCGUAGAACCUUACCUGGACUUGACAUAUAGGGAAAGUUAUAGAAAUAUAAUGUGCAUUAGCGCCCUAUACAGGUGGUGCAUGGCUGUCGUCAGCUCGUGUCGUGAGAUGUUGGGUUAAGUCCCGCAACGAGCGCAACCCCCCUGUCCUAUGUUGCCAGCAAGUAAUGUUGGGGACUCAUAGGAGACUGCCGUGAUAAACCGGAGGAAGGUGGGACGACGUCAAGUCAGCAUGCCCCUUAUGUCCUGGGCUACACACGUGCUACAAUGGUUAAGACAAAGAGUCGCGAGCUCGUGAGAGUAAGC
RNAcentral lists this ribosomal RNA (348 nucleotides) under uncultured bacterium. RNAcentral's name for it is "bacterial SSU rRNA". It matches the Rfam family "Bacterial small subunit ribosomal RNA", at positions 920 to 1268 of the family's 1533-position model. The record is from RNAcentral.